AAGCGCAUCACAUUCUUCCCAGCCGAAAACACCUUCAGUAUACUUUUGCUCAACUUUAGAUUGAAAAGAAAGUUUUUAUUAUUUCAUCACUAUUUUAUAAGAAUAUAUUGUAGAUAAACAACCUAUGAUGAAGACAUCAAUGCAUAGUGAAAGUGAACAAGAAGUAGAUAUAAUUAGUACCUUGCCUGAUUCUAUUGUAACACACAUCAUGGAAUUCUUGGUGACUAAAGAAGCUGUACAUACCAGCAUUUUGUCCAAGAGAUGGAAGCACCUUUGGAAAUCGCUCGCUAUUUUGAUAAUUAACAGUAAUCAAUUUGACAAGGCUGAAUUUUUCAAGAAAUUUGUGCUCAAGGUUUUGCAACACCGCGAUUACUCUAGUGCCUUGCGUAAAAUUGUAGUCAAGCAUAACGGGCAUAUUCACUUUCAUAUUUUGGCCAAAAUAAUCAAUUAUGCAGUAUCAUACGAAGUGGAGCAAUUCAAACUCGACACAUUCCUUCGUAAUGAUGUACGUAAUAUGUUGCUUUUUCACCCCUUGUUUUACCUUCAGUCUCUAAAACGUCUUGAUGUGUCACUCCGUAAAUCUGGUUGGAUAGCUCAACUUCCGGUAACUCUAGACCUUCCACAAUUAGUAUAUUGUCAAUUACGACAUUUUUCCUUUACUUCAAGUGAUGAUAAAGAUUUUUCCAAUCCCUUCUUAAAUUGUAAGAAGCUUCGUACUUUAGUCAUCGACAAUUGCAAUCUAAGUAACGGGAAAAUCCUUUGU
Trifolium pratense (red clover) is the source of this 763-nucleotide long non-coding RNA. RefSeq lists it as uncharacterized. The transcript has 3 exons. NCBI's taxonomy places the organism in Eukaryota, Viridiplantae, Streptophyta, Magnoliopsida, Fabales, Fabaceae. The record is from RefSeq and is a predicted model, not a curated record.